CACGUAGGGUGCGAGCGUUGUCCGGAAUUAUUGGGCGUAAAGAGCUCGUAGGCGGUGUGUCGCGUCGGCCGUGAAAACCUGCAGCUUAACUGUGGGCUUGCGGUCGAUACGGGCAUCACUGGAGUUCGGCAGGGGAGACUGGAAUUCCUGGUGUAGCGGUGAAAUGCGCAGAUAUCAGGAGGAACACCGGUGGCGAAGGCGGCUUCCUGGACCGACACUGACGCUGAGGCGCGAAAGCUAGGGGAGCAAACGGG
This 254-nucleotide ribosomal RNA is filed under the name uncultured bacterium. RNAcentral describes it as "partial 16S ribosomal RNA". It matches the Rfam family "Bacterial small subunit ribosomal RNA", at positions 524 to 776 of the family's 1533-position model. The record is from RNAcentral.